GACGAACGCUGGCGGCGUGCUUAACACAUGCAAGUCGAACGGAAAGGCCCUGCUUUUGUGGGGUGCUCGAGUGGCGAACGGGUGAGUAACACGUGAGUAACCUGCCCUUGACUUUGGGAUAACUUCAGGAAACUGGGGCUAAUACCGGAUAGGAGCUCCUGCUGCAUGGUGGGGGUUGGAAAGUUUCGGCGGUUGGGGAUGGACUCGCGGCUUAUCAGCUUGUUGGUGGGGUAGUGGCUUACCAAGGCUUUGACGGGUAGCCGGCCUGAGAGGGUGACCGGACACAUUGGGACUGAGAUACGGCCCAGACUCCUACGGGAGGCAGCAGUGGGGAAUAUUGCACAAUAGGCGGAAGCCUGAUGCAGCAACGCCGCGUGCGGGAUGACGGCCUUCGGGUUGUAAACCGCUUUCGCCUGUGACGAAGCGUGAGUGACGGUAAUGGGUAAAGAAGCACCGGCUAACUACGUG
RNAcentral lists this ribosomal RNA (468 nucleotides) under uncultured bacterium. RNAcentral describes it as "partial 16S ribosomal RNA". It matches the Rfam family "Bacterial small subunit ribosomal RNA", at positions 28 to 507 of the family's 1533-position model. The record is from RNAcentral.